This 72-nucleotide transfer RNA is filed under the name Camelus bactrianus (Bactrian camel). It matches the Rfam family "tRNA". Rfam says of the family: Transfer RNA (tRNA) molecules are approximately 80 nucleotides in length. Their secondary structure includes four short double-helical elements and three loops (D, anti-codon, and T loops). The record is from Rfam by way of RNAcentral. RNAcentral also lists the same sequence under 1 other name. Lineage: Eukaryota; Metazoa; Chordata; Mammalia; Artiodactyla; Camelidae.
GAGGGUAUAGCUCAGUGGUAGAGUGCAUGCCUAGUAUCCACUAGGUCCUAGGUUUAAUCCCCAGUACCUCCA